This 413-nucleotide ribosomal RNA is filed under the name uncultured bacterium. RNAcentral describes it as "bacterial SSU rRNA". It matches the Rfam family "Bacterial small subunit ribosomal RNA", at positions 100 to 518 of the family's 1533-position model. The record is from RNAcentral.
ACGGUGAGUAACACGUAUCAACCUGCCGCUUACUCGGGGUAGACCUUCGAAAGAAAGAUUAAUACCGAUGGUAUAAAGAGUUCGCAUGUUCUCUUAUUAAAGAAUUUCGGUAAGCGAUGGGAUGCGUUCCAUUAGAUAGUUGGCGGGGUAACGGCCCGACCAAGUCUACGAUGGAUAGGGGUUCUGAGAGGAAGGUCCCCACAUUGGAACUGAGACACGGUCCAAACUCCUACGGGAGGCAGCAGUGAGGAAUAUUGGUCAAUGGACGAGAGUCUGAACCAGCCAAAAGUAGCGUGAAGGAUGACUGCCCUAUGGGUUGUAAACUUCUUUUAUAAGGGAAUAAAGUGAGGGACGUGUCCCUUUUUGUAUGUACCUUAUGAAUAAGGAUCGGCUAACUCCGUGCCAGCCGCUGC